AAAGUCGUAACAAGGUUUCCGUAGGUGAACCUGCGGAAGGAUCAUCAACAAAUCUAAUGCCGGUCAGCGGCGUAUACCAAUGUGAAUAGCAGGUCUAUUAGAGGUCUGUGAAAGCAGGCCUCUUGGGUCUGUGCCGUUUUUGUUCUUCGGGACAAAAAUAUUAACGAGUAAACAGAGUCUGAUAAAAAGCACAAUAGAAACAACUUUUAACAAUGGAUCUCUUGGCUCUU
RNAcentral lists this unclassified non-coding RNA (230 nucleotides) under Basidiomycota sp. Its description in RNAcentral is "partial contains small subunit ribosomal RNA, internal transcribed spacer 1, and 5.8S ribosomal RNA". The stretch from base 1 to 47 matches the Rfam family "Eukaryotic small subunit ribosomal RNA", at positions 1785 to 1831 of the family's 1831-position model. The record is from RNAcentral. Lineage: Eukaryota; Fungi; Basidiomycota.